GAUGAAGAACGCAGCGAAAUGCGAUACGUAGUGUGAAUUGCAGAAUUCAGUGAAUCAUCGAAUCUUUGAACGCACAUUGCACCUCUCGGUAUUCCGGGAGGUAUGCCUGUUCGAGCGUCAUUUGUACCCUCAAGCUCUGCUUGGUGUUUGGUGUUUGUUCCGCCUCUGUGUGUGAACUCGCCUCAAAACAAUUGGCAGCCGGCGUACUUGUUUCGGAGCGCAGCACAUUUUGCGAUCCAGAUCAACGUACAGCGGCAUCCAAGAAGCCUUAUUUAACGCUCUUGACCUCGGAUCAGGUAGGGAUACCCGCUGAACUUAAGCAUAUCAAUAAGCGGAGGA
RNAcentral lists this unclassified non-coding RNA (339 nucleotides) under soil metagenome. RNAcentral's name for it is "partial contains 5.8S ribosomal RNA, internal transcribed spacer 2, and large subunit ribosomal RNA". The stretch from base 1 to 120 matches the Rfam family "5.8S ribosomal RNA", at positions 35 to 154 of the family's 154-position model. The record is from RNAcentral.